GGCUCCUUGUGAGUAAUAGAUGGGGAGUCCGACCUGCCCGGUGAAAAAAUUUUUAACGGCCGCGGUACUCUGACCGUGCGAAGGUAGCAUAAUCAUUUGCCUUAUAAUUGAAGGCUUGUAUGAAUGGUUUAACAAGAAUAAAGCUGUCUCUUUACAAUUAAAUAUAAUUUUAUUUAUAGGUGAAGAAGCCUAUAUAAAAUUGAAAGACAAGAAGACCCUAUCGAGCUUGAAAAAAGUUAAUAAAUACAAACUCAUAUUUAUAUAGAGUACGUUUUUAAAAAUUUUAGUUGGGGCGACUGAGGAACAAAAAAAGCUUCCUCGUAAGGUAAUAACGUGCUGGUAUUGAUCCAAAUGUUUUGAUUAAAGGAAUUAGUUACCGUAGGGAUAACAGCAUUAUCUUUUUUAAGAGCUCAAAUCGAAAAAAAGGUUUGUGACCUCGAUGUUGGACCAGAAUAUCCCGAAGAUGCAGCCGUCUUCAAAGGUUGGUCUGUUCGACCAUUAAAAUUCUACGUGAUCUGAGUUCAGACCGGCGUGAGCCAGGUCAGUUUCUAUCUUCAUUUUUUUAUAUGAGCUUAGUACGAAAGGAUCAGCUUGCAGUAAAAUUUAUAUCCGUUUGAUGAAGUAUAAAGAGAGAUUCAAUAAAAAUUUAAGUGGGUUGGGUCAAAUUAGCAAAGAUAAUGCAACUGACUUAGGAUCAGUAGACAUAGGUGAAACUCCUUUAUUUGAUAUAAGAUAAAGAUGGCAGAUAAA
RNAcentral lists this ribosomal RNA (750 nucleotides) under Morula uva. RNAcentral describes it as "partial 16S ribosomal RNA". The stretch from base 1 to 580 matches the Rfam family "Bacterial large subunit ribosomal RNA", at positions 1817 to 2925 of the family's 2925-position model. Lineage: Eukaryota; Metazoa; Mollusca; Gastropoda; Neogastropoda; Muricidae. The record is from RNAcentral.